GACGAACGCUGGCGGCGUGCCUAAUACAUGCCAGUUGAGCGCUGAAGGUUGGUACUUGUACCAACUGGAUGAGCAGCGAACGGGUGAGUAACGCGUGGGGAAUCUGCCUUUGAGCGGGGGACAACAUUUGGAAACGAAUGCUAAUACCGCAUAAAAACUUUAAACACAAGUUUUAAGUUUGAAAGAUGCAAUUGCAUCACUCAAAGAUGAUCCCGCGUUGUAUUAGCUAGUUGGUGAGGUAAAGGCUCACCAAGGCGAUGAUACAUAGCCGACCUGAGAGGGUGAUCGGCCACAUUGGGACUGAGACACGGCCCAAACUCCUACGGGAGGCAGCAGUAGGGAAUCUUCGGCAAUGGACGAAAUUCUGACCGAGCAACGCCGCGUGAGUGAAGAAGGUUUUCGGAUCGUAAAACUCUGUUGGUAGAGAAGAACGUUGGUGAGAGUGGAAAGCUCAUCAAGUGACGGUAACUACCCAGAAAGGGACGGCUAACUACGUG
Molecule: ribosomal RNA, 497 nt
Filed under: uncultured bacterium
Lineage: Bacteria
Description: partial 16S ribosomal RNA
Rfam family: Bacterial small subunit ribosomal RNA
Source: RNAcentral